ACCGAGUUGAAGUUGCCUGCGUGGUGUCCACACAGAUUGUCUGAUGAUAAGAAAGAGUCAAAAGCGUCUUGCGAAGCUGACAAGUGAUGUCCCCUUCGUCUAGAGGCCCAGGACACCGCCCUUUCACGGCGGUAACAGGGGUUCGAAUCCCCUAGGGGACGCCAAUAUGACUGACGGUGGGUGAAAGACACGGUCGACGUUAACCUAAAACUGAUUAGCGAUAGUCAGGUUUAUGUUAUCUGCUCUUUAACAAUCCGGAACAAGCUGAAUAAUUUGAAACGACGGCGUAUGAACGACUGUUUGUAGUAUGAACGAACGUUUGUAGGCUGGUCGAGUCUC
RNAcentral lists this unclassified non-coding RNA (339 nucleotides) under Dickeya dianthicola. RNAcentral describes it as "partial 16S-23S ribosomal RNA intergenic spacer". The stretch from base 89 to 161 matches the Rfam family "tRNA". The record is from RNAcentral. Lineage: Bacteria; Pseudomonadati; Pseudomonadota; Gammaproteobacteria; Enterobacterales; Pectobacteriaceae.